AGAGUUAGUUCAAUCUCUCUCCCUUAUUGUAGCCUUGAAUAAAGGCUUUGCCUUUCAAACUCUGUCCUGCCCAUUUUUCUUUGACAUGUUCAGAUGUUGGCAAGGCUGAAAACUGCAGGGGAUCUGGUUGUGAUAAUCCAGGUACAUGCCCCAAGGAAAUGAGGCUACAUGAGGACACAGCAAGAAGGUGGCUGUCUGCAAGCCAGAAAGAGAGCCCUCCCCAGAGACUGAACCAGCUAGAACCAUGAUCUUGGACUUCCAGCCUCCAGAACUGUUAUUCUAGGUCGACUUCCGUGUCUGGAUGUAACCAAAUCACCAGCCAGACCGUGACCAGGACACAUCAUACCGCUUGCCCCCGGCAGAGAUCCUGUGCCCACAUGUGAUAAGCUCCCAGGAGACCACAAGCUACUUGGAGGUAGGACCAAGUGGUGUACAUAACGACCAGACAGCCACAAAGAGUCCCUUGCUCAGACAGGUGUUCAGCAACUCUUCCCAGAGCAAAACAUGCCUGUCUUGCCCACUGCGGAGUAACUGCAAGGCAGCGCACUGCUCCUCUGGGGUCUCAGACCCAAUGGCAGCCUUACAAGAAUAAACUCAAGCUGUUUUAAAAAAUAUUUUUAAACAGCAAACCUCUCCUCUCUAAAUGACAUUUAAUUGCUUCAAAGAUCAAGAGAAGGCAACUUCUUUGUGGCUGGGCGUGCAAACAACCUGCGUUCUUCAGGGCUCUGGGUAUGGGUUACAAGAUUCAUCGUGACUCAAUUCUCCAAUCCACUGAGUUUUGGAGGACACAGGCAGUGUGUCACUGCAGAUGGACUGCCAACCCCCAAUUAAACUGUUCUGGAUGGCUACUGGUGGUGACCUUCAGGUGACAUUGGUCAAGCCUCAAAGGAGUGUGGCCACCCAACCCUAGCAGAGUUUGAGUGUGCCAGGUGCUCAUUACUGAACCCACUUCUCAGUCUACAUCAAACAACCAUGCUGGCCAGAAAUGGUGUGCUGAGUUCUGACGAUACAGAAACACCACACUACUGAUGAUACAGGUGCAUACAUGAAACCUCCUGGUGGCAGGAAGACUCGUUCCUGAGGGCCUGAUGGCUCCCACACCGAGGAAUGCUCUGCCAGAGGCCAGUCCAUUUCAGGCACAGUUAUAACCCACUCCAUAAAGGUUGUGCCAGGGAGAAAAUUAUGACAGGACCUUGCUUGAAAGAAGAGGCAGUCACAAGGCCCCAUGGGGCUUACCUUCCAGGAUGGACUGGCCCUGGGUUUGGGAUUGCAUCAAUUUCAUUUCUGGCUCUCAUGAGUCGGAUUCCCUCUUUUCUCAGAGUAUGGAAGCCAGUGGAGCGUGGCAAAGGUGUCUGGCACCCUGUCUUUGCUGCUUCCUGUGAAAACGAGAUGGUCUGCCUGAAAUGAUACAUUGGCUGUUUCAUUUCUGGGCUCCCCUUGUGUCUUUUUUUUUUAAAGACAGAGACGGGGUCUCACUAUGUUGCCCAGGCUGUCCUCGAACUCCUACGCUCAAGGAAUCUUCCUGCCUCAGCCUCCCAAAGAGCAGGAUUAUGAACGUGAGCCAUUACGCCCAACUUCCCCUAAUCUCUUGUGCUUGGCAUAAUGCUGGUAUGCAGUAGGUGCUCAAUAAAUGCUGACUUGGGUGUAA
Molecule: long non-coding RNA, 1648 nt
Filed under: Homo sapiens (human)
Lineage: Eukaryota; Metazoa; Chordata; Mammalia; Primates; Hominidae
Description: CDH13 antisense oligodendrocyte and neuron associated lncRNA, transcript variant 1 (CEDORA)
Source: RNAcentral